UGGGGAAUAUUGGACAAUGGGCGCAAGCCUGAUCCAGCCAUGCCGCGUGAGUGAUGAAGGCCCUAGGGUUGUAAAGCUCUUUCACCGGUGAAGAUAAUGACGGUAACCGGAGAAGAAGCCCCGGCUAACUUCGUGCCAGCAGCCGCGGUAAUACGAAGGGGGCUAGCGUUGUUCGGAUUUACUGGGCGUAAAGCGCACGUAGGCGGACUAUUAAGUCAGGGGUGAAAUCCCGGGGCUCAACCCCGGAACUGCCUUUGAUACUGGUAGUCUUGAGUUCGAGAUAGGUGAGUGGAAUUCCGAGUGUAGAGGUGAAAUUCGUAGAUAUUCGGAGGAACACCAGUGGCGAAGGCGGCUCACUGGCUCGAUACUGACGCUGAGGUGCGAAAGCGUGGGGAGCAAACAGG
RNAcentral lists this ribosomal RNA (404 nucleotides) under Actinomycetes bacterium. Its description in RNAcentral is "Actinobacteria bacterium partial 16S ribosomal RNA". It matches the Rfam family "Bacterial small subunit ribosomal RNA", at positions 355 to 776 of the family's 1533-position model. Lineage: Bacteria; Bacillati; Actinomycetota; Actinomycetes. The record is from RNAcentral.